Arachis stenosperma is the source of this 4608-nucleotide RNA transcript. RefSeq lists it as uncharacterized. The transcript has 4 exons. NCBI's taxonomy places the organism in Eukaryota, Viridiplantae, Streptophyta, Magnoliopsida, Fabales, Fabaceae. The record is from RefSeq and is a predicted model, not a curated record.
UUUACAAAUCAACCUGGUUCAUACACUUAGAAAAGAAGAAAACAGAAGGGAAAAAGGGGAUAAACGGGGAAGAGGAGAAAUCGAGAGGGGAAGAUGGAGAGCUCGAGAGUCAGGGAGCAAGGGAAGGGGAGGAAGACGCCGCGAUGAUUAAGGAGGCUUCGACUUCUUCACCCUUAUGCAUUCGUCGCUGCCACUAUCAUCAACCGAAGCUGCUGCGCAUGGAGAGAAAGGGAGACCGCGCCCAGUCGUCACCAGCGCACUAGUGUCCUACUGCUGCCGCCAUCGCGCCUGGGUGUUGCCGUUAAGCUCGCAGCUACCGUCACCAUGGAGACUUCCACCAUCAUCUCUGAAGUCGCUCGUCGGUUAGGGCAGGCAGAGGGGGAAAUACGAACAACCAGGAAGAGGAGAAGAACACUGGUGGGUGUUUUCUUAACCAUUGCCGCCGAAAAAAGCUCUGCCACGGUUGUCUCCUCCGUCACUACCACGAUCGUCGUUCCGAUUCCCAUUCUCAAAACCGUGACUGCGUUAAAUUGCAUCUUAAACACGAUGUUCAGAUGAUUUUCUUUCUUUUUUGUUAUUUUAAGAAUAAACCCUUAAAUCAGUUCCUCAAUGAUUACUGUCUCUGCUGCAUUAAUGCUCUAAAUAUUUUUGUCACCAAACUAGUUUUUCAAGUUUGCAACAUAAUUACCAACUCAUAUUUUUUGUGCCACUACUUUAGGUUUUUUUUUUUCAAUUUAAAAAAUCUAGUCAUUUCAAGAAAUCUUGUGGUGCCCAUAAUCUCUGAUGCCUUCGUUCAUGAGAGAAAAAUAACACUUUAUGAUUUAGGGUCUUUGCUUGCUGCAAGUGUCUUCCAAUAUUUAUAUAUAUUAUCUUCCUCAGUAUUGAAAAUAUUUAUAAAUUAAACUAUCCUUUUGCCACAUUCUUAGGUUGUCCAAGAUGUCUAAUUGUUACUCUUUUAUAAUCUGUCAUGUUGAUUGCAAGGUAGUUCUGCAGACUGCAUGGAAUGUCGGUAGGGAUGAAAUUUAGGCAGGUGCUAAUCUAGUUCCUAUAAGUCAGAACUGCCCUUUCAACCUUGUGUCAUUCACUCAUCAAUUUUGGUCCAUGUUUUUUACAUCUCACUUUUCUUUGAUUCUGUUACUUGAUGAUACAAUUCUGUACCAAGACCAAUAGCAAGAAUUUCUGUUGGAAUUAUGGCUUUGACUCUCUUGCUUUUUGUGCUCAAGUCAGUCCUCUCUACGGUGUUCUUUGCUUUGAGAAUUAUCAUUCAUGGUUCAAGAGGCAAUGCAAUACCGUGAGGAGCUAACAAAGGAAAUAGAUGUGCUCAAAGAAAAACUUGAAGAGCAACGAACACGGAAAGAGAAAGAAUUAGCUCUAAUGUAAGCUCAAUUGGAAGCUCAACAAGCCGUUGUGAACUCUUUCACAGCGCGCUUUGACAAUAAAAGAAACUAGACCCUAAAGAUAACAUUGAGUGUCGCGCUUGCACUAGCAUCCAUCUACUCAAACGAGAGUGGUGCAGGAAAAGGUAUGAUACUCAUCGUAAAUGAUACACUACAAAUAAUAUUAUACUAAAAUACGAUGACAUCCACUUUUUAAAAAAAGUAAAGUAGAAUAUAAUUUGUUUACAGAUAAGCCAUGACCAAUAAGCAAAAUAUAACUCACUAACAUUUUUUAGGAAAAAAAAAUAGAAACCAAUUAUCUUUUAAUCAAAACCACCAUAUUAGAGUAUUUUUCAUUUUAUUUUGAAUUUUCGUCAAUUUAUAUGAAAAAUUAUUGUGAAAAAGUUUAUCCAUUUUUUCAUGUUAAAAAUUUGCAAGUUUACCUCUCAAUCUUAUAAUUGGGGUUUCGAAGGUCAGAAUAUAUUUAUUAAAUGUAUAAGUAUAACUUAUAUAUUAAUUAGAGCAAGUAAAUAUCCUUAUUUUGUGUCGUUUAUAUUAUUUAUUUAGAAAUAUAUUCAAUACUGAUAUAAAAGCUAAUUGAUCUAUCAGGACAAAUAUACUAAACUAUUUUUAGAACUACCCCUAAAAAAUUUUUAUUUGAAAUAACGGAAUUAACCAACAAGAUGUAUGUAUGUAUGAAUGAUGUAAUAAUGUAUGUAGAUUAUAGUGACAACACUAAGUCUGCCUUAGAACAACGUGUUUGGAGGUAGAAACCUGUCCACCUUCGAGGUAGGUGCAGUAGCAACCGCCGUGAGCUGCUGAAUGACAAUUUUUUUCCUGCAUUCUUCGACGAAAUCAUACGCUAUUAAAAGCGGUUAAAAAAGUUGUUCUCCCCAUCGGUGAUUUUCAUUUGGUGUAUUUUCUUGUAUUGUUCUCUUAUUUGGAUUCAUUGAAAUUGGUUUAGGAUUGAGUUUAGAAUAUACCUAAUUUAUUAAUGUUAUAUUUUUUUAUAUUAAUAUUAUAUUUAGACAAUUAAUAAAGGUAAUUAAGAUGAUACUGAAAUAUAACUUUAUAAUCUCACUUUCUAAAACUAACAUUUGUUUAUGUAAUCCUUUCACAACAUUUGUUUUACCCUUCUUAGCAUUUUGAAACGUGCUAUAGGCAUAAAAUCAUGUUUAUUUUUUUGGUUGGUAGAAACUCUGGCUUAGCACCACUAUCCUGAUACUAGACAUUUUUAAGUAAAACAAUAUUGUUUGUUUGUUUUAUUUAUUGCUUUUAAUUUAUUUUUUAAACAAGAAUGUUUACAUUGCACAGUUUUGAUCUUAUGUUAUUGUACUAUUUUAGUCCUACCAGAGAGGAUGUUCUCAAGAAUAUAAAAAAUCUGCCAGGAGGAAUUCUUACUUACCCGUCUCACAUACUAAAGAAUUUUUCAUGUUUGAAAUUUUUAGGUUUACCCCUCAAUCUUGCAAUUGGAGUUUCGAAGGUCAUAAAUAUAUUUAUUAAAUAUUUAACUUAUAUGUUAAUUAGGACAAGUAAAUAUCCUUACUUUGUAUCAUUAUGUUAUCUAUUUGAUAAUAUCUUUAAUAUUGAUAUUAAAUCUAAUUAAUCUAUCAGGAAAAAUAUACUAAACUAUUUUUAGAAUCACAAAAAAAAAAUUAUUCGGAGACUGAUAAACCCCAUUUUGAGGGUUUAUCUUGUGCCAAUUUCAGGGGUUUUAUCAAUGAUUCCACAUACCUUUCGCAUGAAAAUACAAGGCUUUGUGUUCCUUUCCUAAUUUUUCCUCAUGAAUGAAAACAUGCUUAUUUUGCACUAAAUUAGAUACAUUUCUAAUCUUCUCUUGGUACCAUUCGAUGCCGUGACCUAUGUGUUAAGUGGUUUCAGGAUAUAGGGCAGGGAUGAAUCGGAAGAGAGAAGGAGAAUGGGCGCAAAGGAAAGGAGCAUGAGAAAUUGAGUUUUGGGAACUUCAACAAGGGCGCGUGCGCGCACUUGGCGCGCCCGCGUGGAUUGCGCCGCUAGAAGUCAAAGCCAAGCCAUGAGCCGGCAUGUGUAGCGGCUGGGCCCUAAUCUCCAUGGGCGCGCACGCGUACGUUGCGCCUCCGCUCGCAUUGCAAGAUAUCCCAGUGGCGCGCACACGUGCUUUGCGCGUGCGCGCCGAUGCUCGAAUAUGAUUUUUUUUAGAAGUCACGUGAUCUGGGUGUGGAGACAGUUGGAGAUCUCAUCUUGGGGAAGUGCCUUGGCGGGAAGGGCUUAAGGAGACCAAGGGUUGAAAGGUUAAGGGACUUUUGGCUCAUUUUUACAUGUUUCUAGAUUUUUCUCUUUGUGGUAGUUACACUCUUGGGUAGAGAGAGAGAUCUCAAGCUCUCAUUAGGGUUCAUCUUCUUCAAUUUUUGAAUUCUCAAUCACUCUUUGGUGAGAUCAAUUUGCAAUUCUCAAUUUACUUUGUUCCUAUUAUAGAUCUUCUUCUCUAAUCUCAAUUAGUACUUGUAAUUGAUCAAUUCUCAUAGAUCUUAGAUUCAACUUUGUGGUUUUGGAAUCUAUCAAUUUUUGAGAAGUUUAUUUCCAUUGUUGUUCUUGGUUAAUUGUUGUUAGUUCCUUGUGUUGAAGCACUUUCAAUUCUACUUUCUUCUCAUUUUUACUAUGCCUUUCAUUCUUGCUCAUCACUUGUUUGAUAAAAUGCCAACAUUAGUUAUGGAGUAAAAGUUCUUUCUUGGCAUAGGGUUUGGACCAUUAGGAAGAGUUAAAUAGUUUAUGUCAAUUGUUGAUUUGGAAUUAGAAAUUGCUAAUUAACUUGGAGUGCACCAAAGCUAGAUUUCCCUAAGGUAAAACUAGGACUUGUGACUCAAGUUAGUUACUCUCAUUUGACUUUCUCCUGUACCUAGGGGUUGACUAAAUGAAGCAAGGCCUAAUUGUUAUCAUCAUUGAAGGAACUAUAGGGAUAAAAUUCCUAAUGCCAACCCUAGGCCAAGCUUUCUAAAGAUUGAUUGUUUGUCACCUAUUUUGCCAAACCUUCAAAGAAUCAUAACAAGACUUCCUAAUCAAUAAGAUGCAUUCUCUAGCAAUUCCAAGGGAGGACGACUUGGGAGACUAGUACUCUCGGUUAUAGAUUGUAGGAUUGUUUGAUGCGAAGUUUAAGUGUCGGUUAGACUAUACUUACGAUCGUAUUCAUCAUUGAAUUCUAAAUCGACAUGCUAAAAUUUCGUUUAUCAGAGACCCCAGGAGCAUUUCACAAUUC